This 266-nucleotide ribosomal RNA is filed under the name Buttiauxella gaviniae. Its description in RNAcentral is "partial 16S ribosomal RNA". It matches the Rfam family "Bacterial small subunit ribosomal RNA", at positions 515 to 780 of the family's 1533-position model. Lineage: Bacteria; Pseudomonadati; Pseudomonadota; Gammaproteobacteria; Enterobacterales; Enterobacteriaceae. The record is from RNAcentral.
CCGCGGUAAUACGGAGGGUGCAAGCGUUAAUCGGAAUUACUGGGCGUAAAGCGCACGCAGGCGGUUUGUCAAGUCGGAUGUGAAAUCCCCGGGCUCAACCUGGGAACUGCAUUCGAAACUGGCAAGCUAGAGUCUUGUAGAGGGGGGUAGAAUUCCAGGUGUAGCGGUGAAAUGCGUAGAGAUCUGGAGGAAUACCGGUGGCGAAGGCGGCCCCCUGGACAAAGACUGACGCUCAGGUGCGAAAGCGUGGGGAGCAAACAGGAUUA